CCUACGGGGGGCUGCAGUGGGGAAUAUUGGACAAUGGGGGGAACCCUGAUCCAGCCAUGCCGCGUGUGUGAAGAAGGCCCUCGGGUUGUAAAGCACUUUCAGUGAGGAAGAACGCCUGGUGGUUAAUACCCAUCAGGAAAGACAUCACUCACAGAAGAAGCACCGGCUAACUCCGUGCCAGCAGCCGCGGUAAUACGGAGGGUGCGAGCGUUAAUCGGAAUUACUGGGCGUAAAGCGCGCGUAGGUGGCUUGAUAAGCCGGUUGUGAAAGCCCCGGGCUCAACCUGGGAACGGCAUCCGGAACUGUCAAGCUAGAGUGCAGGAGAGGAAGGUAGAAGUCCCGGUGUAGCGGUGAAAUGCGUAGAGAUCGGGAGGAAUACCAGUGGCGAAGGCGGCCUUCUGGACUGACACUGACACUGAGGUGCGAAAGCGUGGGUAGCAAACAGGAUUAGAUACCCGUGUAGUC
This 465-nucleotide ribosomal RNA is filed under the name Vreelandella stevensii. RNAcentral's name for it is "partial 16S ribosomal RNA". It matches the Rfam family "Bacterial small subunit ribosomal RNA", at positions 338 to 795 of the family's 1533-position model. Lineage: Bacteria; Pseudomonadati; Pseudomonadota; Gammaproteobacteria; Oceanospirillales; Halomonadaceae. The record is from RNAcentral.